Carassius auratus (goldfish) is the source of this 820-nucleotide long non-coding RNA. RefSeq lists it as uncharacterized. The transcript is spliced from 2 exons. NCBI's taxonomy places the organism in Eukaryota, Metazoa, Chordata, Actinopteri, Cypriniformes, Cyprinidae. The record is from RefSeq and is a predicted model, not a curated record.
GUUAGCAAGGGAAAACGGCCAUCGGAAUUUGCUUCACGAGAACAUUUGUGAAAGAUGCAGACGACGAACUCACUUCAUUGGUGUCUUCACAGGAUUCUCAGUUCUUUUAUGCUCAGCAAUUAAGAGGAUGAACGUGACAAGACGUUCCACAUUGGCGAAACCUGCUGCUUUUCAACAUGUUUACUUUUGAUAUUCACUAGUGAAUUCCUAAUUCAAUGAUCUUGUUGAGCAAAUAAAUAAUACAAAUUCAUCUACACAAGGGGAUUUCCACUAUUUGCAAGGAAGAUGACAUGGAACUAUUCUUCAGGGGGGCGAAAUGGGGGGAAAAACAGCAAGAAGCAAAACAUGUUUUCCUUUGAGUGAAGACAGAAGGAGCCAGAAGCCGGCCUGGGCUUGUCAGUGUGAACCCGAUCUUUCGGUACAGUACCCCUCUCUCAUAUAUGAAUGCAUUUGCACACACAUAGAGUUUUUUUUUUUCUGCAGUAAAAACACUGAAUUACAUAAAAUGAAGUGAUAUGGAUGACACAAGGCUGGGUCAGCAUCUCCCACUCUAUCGUAGUCUUGUUUUAGUAAAAAAAAAAAAAAAGGAUAUUAAAAUUUAAACUCUGGUAAUGUCCAAAAGCACAUAUAGACCAUACAUCAUCCUUUCUCCUUAAGGAAAGGUGUAAGGCAAGCCUUGAUGGAAGACGACAGCACACUGCUCACUGGUAGUUGUGUGUGAAGCAAACACUUUUCAGCUUCCGUUGGCCAUAUUUGAUGUGCUGUGUGUAUGUGUUUUGAUCAGUGUUCGUAUGUUAAUAAAAGUUCAAUCUGUUCAUCA